This 87-nucleotide transfer RNA is filed under the name Marivirga lumbricoides. RNAcentral describes it as "tRNA-Leu". Lineage: Bacteria; Pseudomonadati; Bacteroidota; Cytophagia; Cytophagales; Marivirgaceae. The record is from RNAcentral.
UUGAAGGAUGGCGGAACUGGUAAACGCAAUGGACUCAAAAUCCAUCUGAUUGAUGAAGUAGCCUGCUUCUAAAACAGGGCUUCCAAA